Molecule: long non-coding RNA, 1476 nt
Organism: Labrus mixtus (cuckoo wrasse)
Lineage: Eukaryota; Metazoa; Chordata; Actinopteri; Labriformes; Labridae
Exons: 3
Source: RefSeq, a predicted model, not a curated record
CUGAGCUUUUGAACAAGUGAGGCUUUGUAAGUGCCGUGAAAAUAUGGUCCUAACUAUAAAGAAAAUAAUCAGGAAACGAAAAACCUGCACUCACUUUAAAUUAUUUUUGAAACCAUUUGCAGGAUGAAAGUUGUUUUUUUUUUGUAAUGAUUUGGCCGUAGAUUUUCAAGCAGAUUGCCAAGAAAAGCAACCCGUCAGAAUGUGAAGCAGUGCAUGGAAAUUUGAUUCAUCUAUGUGUUGGGGAGACGUUCCUGUUUGUGACAGUAAUGGUUUUCAUCCAGCAGGGCCAACCCAUGGUUAUUUUGACCAUGAGUGGAGUUAGACAUAGAUGCCCCCAGCAUGGAUUUUGGACGCCACUGUCUACUAAAAAAAGGAAAGGCUUGAUCAAGGAGUGAAAUGAUCAUCCAAAGUAGACGAGGGACUGGACAUUCAGAGGUAAUUCCAAAGGACCCUGCCCUCCGGAUCUGCGGUAUCCAGUUUCAUCUCUUGCUGCAUGCCUCGUUACCUAUCAGCAAAAACAUGAACAUCAACUUCUGAUGACAGCAGGCUAAAAUUGGUGGCUAUCAAAACCCAGGAACUGGCAAGGAGCUUCACUGGGGUGUCCGCUUUCCAGAGUGGAAGCCCUGUGUUCAGACACCUCAGGGUGAAGGGGCUGUGCACACUCCUCACUCUCACAGCGGGUAAUGGGGAUGGCAUAAACACAGCUUAGGGUCUAUUAGGCAAAAACUUUCACACUAUUAAUUAGAUGCAGCUGCACACGCUCCUCACAUCUCAGCCAUAUACACUGGUUGGUGAGUGAAGGCUGAAAUGUGUACCGUAAACCAUACAUAAGUUCCCCAACAGCUUUAGUACGGUAACACGAUUCAAGGUGUGUUUACUAUCAAUGCAUAAUCGACCACUGUCACAUUCCCCUACAGUUACAGCGAUACAUUCAACUUUAAAAAGAGAAAUGCUAAAUCAGCACUUUUGGUUAUGGUAUUUUGCAGGUCAUAAGACAUCAAGGUGUCUGGUAAUACUGGACUAAAUGACCCGUAUUGCAGAUGUAUCAGAUUCUGUCAGCUGAAAAAGUAACAAGUGAUGGCAGCACAGGAAUCACACAGAAGCUUUGAUUCAAACUCAAGAAGUCCUCGUUCAGUUAAAAGCAAGGUCACAAUUCUGUGUUAAAAAAAAUAAUGUACAGUAAUUACUCUCAAAGUUAUGGUUAUUCAAUACAUUUAUUAAAAUAAUAAUUGUUGUUUUUUGUAUAUCAAAUACCUGUAAAUAAGAAGGGUCCUGGUUAAAAUACAAGGAAUUAUUAGCUAGAUGUAAACAAUCUGUUUGGACCUGCUCCACAUUCAAACAUAGUCAUAAUUAAGUAUGCUGAAACAACAAAUUGCAUGUAACCUUUCUAAAAAUUCAUUGUUGCCCACGUUAAUCUGGGGAUGAGUCUUAUCGAUUCAAAUAACAAAACAAAAUAGUGUUUAUAAAAAAUAAAAU